Molecule: long non-coding RNA, 351 nt
Organism: Ananas comosus (pineapple)
Lineage: Eukaryota; Viridiplantae; Streptophyta; Magnoliopsida; Poales; Bromeliaceae
Exons: 3
Source: RefSeq, a predicted model, not a curated record
UCCGGUUGAAGGCAAGGUGGAACUCGGGUGGAGUUUUGUCGCCGACGUCGCGCCGCGAAGCCGCUAGAGCUUGUGUUGACGCCGGGGCUUUGCGAGGAGGCCGGGCGAGCGGAGGUUUUCGCCGUCCUUGCUGUCACACAGGUACUUGGUGUUGUCGAGGAGCAUCGGAUUGCGACGAGACUUGGUUCGUUGGAUUCGGGACUGCGAGAGGAAUCCACGAAGCCCUUACUUGCGAAUUUUGGUGAAGUUUGGAGUUCGCUCGAUUUCGAGACUCGGGCAUUUUUGGUCAAUCCAGCAGGUGGUGUUGCAGCCGAGGGUGUUCCGUGCUGCCAGGGAUUAGCGAGCGAGGUG